UGAGACAAAUGUCAAAAAUUUAAACUUCUUUGUCGCGAAGGCCCGCGGCGGGUAUUGACGCGAUGUGAUCUCUGCCCAGUGCUCAGAAUGUCAAAUGAAGAAA
Molecule: microRNA precursor, 103 nt
Organism: Ochotona princeps (American pika)
Lineage: Eukaryota; Metazoa; Chordata; Mammalia; Lagomorpha; Ochotonidae
Source: Ensembl